RNAcentral lists this long non-coding RNA (482 nucleotides) under Cricetulus griseus (Chinese hamster). RNAcentral describes it as "lncRNA (ENSCGRG00015029057.1)". The record is from RNAcentral. Lineage: Eukaryota; Metazoa; Chordata; Mammalia; Rodentia; Cricetidae.
AGGGGGUGUGCCCACAGUUUCGUGUAAAUGCCUGCAGAGGCCAGAGGAUGACCCUGGAUCCUUUGGAACUGGAGUUACAGGCGGUUGUGAGCUGUCUGAUGCUGGGAACUGAACUUGGGUCCUCUGUAAGACAAAUUCCUGGUUUCUGAGUUUUGGUUCCUCAUCCAUGAAAGAGAAGCAGUCAUGGGUUUGUAAAGUCUUUUGUCACCCAAUCGUGGUCAUUCCUACAAACCAGUCACAGCCUCUAUGACACCAUCAAAAGGAGAUUUCAGAACGAGCUAGAAUGCAUCACCUGGCAGAAAGCAGCUUGGUGACGACCUGGAGCUAGUUGUGGGGGAAUAAAUGACUGAAAAGGGCUCCCGGAACCUCAGGGGAGGGGUGUGGUGAUGCCCAGGUGGCUGUGUACCUUUGUGAGAAACAUACCUUACUGAGCGAGCACUUAAAAUGCCUGCUGUGUCUUGUGUGUAUAAACUACCCCUGGG